CCUACGGGGUGCAGCAGUGGGGAAUAUUGGACAAUGGGCGAAAGCCUGAUCCAGCCAUGCCGCGUGUGUGAAGAAGGCCUUCGGGUUGUAAAGCACUUUCAGUGGGGAAGAAAGCCUUGGGGCUAAUACCCUCGAGGAAGGACAUCACCCACAGAAGAAGCACCGGCUAACUCCGUGCCAGCAGCCGCGGUAAUACGGAGGGUGCGAGCGUUAAUCGGAAUUACUGGGCGUAAAGCGCGCGUAGGCGGUCUGAUAAGCCGGUUGUGAAAGCCCCGGGCUCAACCUGGGAACGGCAUCCAGAACUGUCAGGCUAGAGUGCAGGAGAGGAAGGUAGAAUUCCCGGUGUAGCGGUGAAAUGCGUAGAGAUCGGGAGGAAUACCAGUGGCGAAGGCGGCCUUCUGGACUGACACUGUCGCUGAGGUGCGAAAGCGUGGGUAGCAAACAGGAUUAGAUACCCGGGUAGUC
RNAcentral lists this ribosomal RNA (465 nucleotides) under Vreelandella stevensii. RNAcentral's name for it is "partial 16S ribosomal RNA". It matches the Rfam family "Bacterial small subunit ribosomal RNA", at positions 338 to 795 of the family's 1533-position model. Lineage: Bacteria; Pseudomonadati; Pseudomonadota; Gammaproteobacteria; Oceanospirillales; Halomonadaceae. The record is from RNAcentral.